Long non-coding RNA from Pygocentrus nattereri (red-bellied piranha), 2533 nucleotides. RefSeq lists it as uncharacterized. The transcript is spliced from 4 exons. The record is from RefSeq and is a predicted model, not a curated record. Lineage: Eukaryota; Metazoa; Chordata; Actinopteri; Characiformes; Serrasalmidae.
AAAUUGGCUUCACUGUGGUGAUGCUCAUAAGAGGCGUGGACCUGUUUUUCUGUAAAGCUGCUUUGUGACAACCUUGUUGUAAAAAGCGCUAUAUAAAUAAACUUGAAUUGGGUAAUGACGGAAAGAAUGAGACUGCCAAUACAAGCGGCCGAAAGGAGUUUCCUCCGCAGGGUGUCUGGACUCAACCUUAGAGAUAGGAUGAGAAGUUGUCAUCCGGGAGGGACUCUGAGUAGAGCCUCUGCUUUUCCACAUCGAGAGGAGCCAGCUGAGGUGGUUCAGGCAUCUGGUUAGGAUGCCUCCUGGACGCCUCCCUCGGGAGGUGUCACAGGAAAGUCCAACCAGGAGGAGACCCCAGGGAAGACCCAGGACACGCUGGCAUGACCUAUAUCAGAAUCUCCCCCCAGGGGAGCUAGUGGAAGUGACUGGGGAAAGGGAGGUCUGGGCCUCAUUGCUUAGGAUGCUGCCCUGCGUCCCGAACCCUGGAAAAGCAGAAGAUAAUGGAUGGGUGGAUGACCUUCACCCACGGUGGGAGCUUGAUAUGGAUGGCUGGUACGUCUUGGCCACUGAGUACCUGGAGUGUCAUUGCUAGAAGGUUGCGAGAUGGUCACGGUGCAUCCAUGAGCAGCUUGACACUGCAGAUCAAACAAUGUUUCUGGCAGUCCUCAAAUACAGUUGAGCUGCACUAGCGGUCACCUUGGUGUUGAGGUACAGCAAGUGGCGGCACCACCACCACCUAUGGUGCCCGUUCCUGCACCUCACUGUCCAAGCUGAGGAUAUCUGGACGUGGAUUGGUGAGAUGAAGGGCAACACUGUAGAUCUGAUGGGUGGAAAUGAGGUAAUGUUUUUAUUACACUCACAGGCAUUUAUUACUCUGCCUCCAUUUGAGUGGGAUGCUAACUAAAGGAUGGAUGCCAUUUGGAACACCCAGCAGCGACACCUUUGUUGCAUCCAUGAUCCUCUCGGACUCCAGUACGAAAAGGCAGGGCAGCUGAUCAAAGGCGAGGUCAUCCUGCCUGUGUACCACUGCACAUAGCUCCACCUCUAGGCAUCCCACCUACAUCUAGAUCACUUAAUGUCUGGAUAGAUUUGGAUUGUGUUGGUUGCAGACGGUCUCGGUCCAGUGUUUUCUUUGCUUCACAGGAAUGUCUGCAAAUGCAGAAAACUUCCAGAUCCAUUUCCUGGAUGGGUUAGAGAGGUGGUUUUGGGACCGUGCAGCAGAGGUAGACCAGGCAGGGACGGGGCUGCAGUGUUGGUGGCAAUUUGCAGCACAGCCUCCACCAGCUAAGCCACCCGUUGCUCAUCUGCAAGUUGUUUGAAGACUGCGCCAAGCCUGGAGAGUGCACAGGAUUGGUUCAAGGCCAGCACUUGCUGUAAGAAGGGAGUGCUUGACAUGGGCUAUGCCAUCAUGGUGCUGGCUGGGCAGCAGACAAAGCGGGCAUCUAGUGAGUUGGAUGACAGUAGUCCCUUGGCAACAUUUGUCUCCAUGCAGUACCACAAACUCAAGGUGCAGCACAAGGAGGCCUGGAUAUCUUUUUUUUAACUUGACUACAAAAGUAUUAAAACAAGUCAUACUCAUUAAUACUCCAGUUUUAAGCAUGAAGGUAGCUGAGGACAGCACAACCUGUAACAAUAUUUAGUGUGGUACAGUUAAAAGGCAUAACUGCUUGAAGUAUCAGCAGAUUAACCCUUUCAUUACUCCAGUGUGCAAAAGUUUUUUUUUUAACCUGAGCUUCAGAUGUUUGUCAACUAGUGCCAAUAUUUCCUACUGUAUUGUUUGAACAACACUUAUCAAAAAUGUUUUAUAUACAUGAAAUGCUUAAUAUAAUAAAAGAUGAGAACACGAAGAAUGUUCGGCUGUUCAGUUUGUUGACUUGGUGGCCAUCUUGGCAACACGGCAGGUCGUUUAGCUCAGCAAUAUAAGAUCAGAUUCCUUUUGCUCUGAAUAGGAGACCAGAAUAUUUGAAACUGAAGGUUAAUGUUUAAGAAAAAAAAAAUCAAUCUGACAAACCUGCCAAAUCUCAUGAACAGCUUGUCUGGCUUUUCCAAGCCAACUUAAUACAGCGUUUGAACAUGUCAGCAAAAGCUGGUGUCUUGCCUUUAACCGUUAGCAGUAGGAAUUGAAGUUUGUGCUAGAUGGCUCUGUCGGUCUUUUUCCUUGCCACUGGUUUGCUUAUGGGAGCUUGGACCUGGAUUUUUCUUUUCUUUUUGUAAUACUGAUUUGUUCUGUAAAGCUGCUUUCUGACAACCCCUGGCCAACUGCCCCACUUGCUAACUGCACCUUAAAGACCUAGGUGUCUCAACUUUCACACCAGGAUAAAGGAUUGAUUUAUUGUUUAAAUCAAGGCAGGAGAAGCAACAGCAUCAGGCAAAGAAAAAACGUAGAGUGACUGAUCACAGAUUAGUGUUAACAGAAUGCAGCAGAGACUGACAGGUCUAGCGAUUACAGCCUAACUAAAAGGGAGAGACCUCAGGGAGCCCCCAUGUCUCAUCUUCGAUGUCAGCGCCCCUCCACUGACUGCAUCUGGGGUUCAGU